UACGUAGGGUGCAAGCGUUAAUCGGAAUUACUGGGCGUAAAGCGGGCGCAGGCGGUUGUGCAAGACAGAUGGGAAAUCCCCGGGCUCAACCUGGGAACUGCAUUUGUGACUGCACGGCUAGAGUGUGUCAGAGGGGGGUAGAAUUCCACGUGUAGCAGUGAAAUGCGUAGAUAUGUGGAGGAAUACCGAUGGCGAAGGCAGCCCCCUGGGAUGACACUGACGCUCAUGCACGAAAGCGUGGGGAGCAAACAGG
Molecule: ribosomal RNA, 253 nt
Filed under: uncultured bacterium
Lineage: Bacteria
Description: partial 16S ribosomal RNA
Rfam family: Bacterial small subunit ribosomal RNA
Source: RNAcentral